This 29-nucleotide non-coding RNA is filed under the name Rattus norvegicus (Norway rat). Lineage: Eukaryota; Metazoa; Chordata; Mammalia; Rodentia; Muridae. The record is from RNAcentral.
UACAAAAGGAGAGAGAAAUCCAGGUUAGU